UCCUUCUGGUGGCUGUGGCAG
This 21-nucleotide unclassified non-coding RNA is filed under the name Mus musculus (house mouse). RNAcentral describes it as "oocyte_clustered_small_RNA12324". The record is from RNAcentral. Lineage: Eukaryota; Metazoa; Chordata; Mammalia; Rodentia; Muridae.